RNAcentral lists this long non-coding RNA (240 nucleotides) under Lupinus angustifolius (narrow-leaved blue lupine). Its description in RNAcentral is "long non-coding RNA (LANG_LNC003566)". The record is from RNAcentral. Lineage: Eukaryota; Viridiplantae; Streptophyta; Magnoliopsida; Fabales; Fabaceae.
AAUAUUUCCUCUCCUUGUGACAGAUUGCCACCCCAAACUACCAAAUGAUUGCCUGCUUCAAACCUCCACAUUCCUUCCUCAAAAACACACCCUCUGAAUCUGCUCCCUUCUUUCUCUUUCUGCCACGUGUGAAGUUAGUUACUACCAUGUGCCUCAAUUUCUAUUUCUUCCUUUCUUCCUAAUUUGCCCUGAUCUUUCUUACGUUGUCUCUGAUAUACCCUUUGGAUUGGGGGUCCAUCA